Molecule: ribosomal RNA, 611 nt
Filed under: uncultured bacterium
Lineage: Bacteria
Description: bacterial SSU rRNA
Rfam family: Bacterial small subunit ribosomal RNA
Source: RNAcentral
AGUCCACGCCCUAAACGAUGUCAACUAGUUGUCGGGUCUUAAUCGACUUGGUAACGCAGCUAACGCGUGAAGUUGACCGCCUGGGGAGUACGGUCGCAAGAUUAAAACUCAAAGGAAUUGACGGGGACCCGCACAAGCGGUGGAUGAUGUGGAUUAAUUCGAUGCAACGCGAAAAACCUUACCUACCCUUGACAUGUACGGAAUCCUUGAGAGAUCAGGGAGUGCUCGAAAGAGAGCCGUAACACAGGUGCUGCAUGGCUGUCGUCAGCUCGUGUCGUGAGAUGUUGGGUUAAGUCCCGCAACGAGCGCAACCCUUGUCAUUAGUUGCUACGAAAGGGCACUCUAAUGAGACUGCCGGUGACAAACCGGAGGAAGGUGGGGAUGACGUCAAGUCCUCGUGGCCCUUAUGGGUAGGGCUUCACACGUCAUACAAUGGUACAUACAGAGGGCCGCCAACCCGCGAGGGGGAGCUAAUCCCAGAAAGUGUAUCGUAGUCCGGAUUGGAGUCUGCAACUCGACUCCAUGAAGUUGGAAUCGCUAGUAAUCGCGGAUCAGCAUGUCGCGGUGAAUACGUUCCCGGGUCUUGUACACACCGCCCGUCACACCAUGGG